Molecule: long non-coding RNA, 644 nt
Organism: Photinus pyralis (common eastern firefly)
Lineage: Eukaryota; Metazoa; Arthropoda; Insecta; Coleoptera; Lampyridae
Exons: 3
Source: RefSeq, a predicted model, not a curated record
ACUAUCUACUGAAUUUUUUGCAGAUUUGUAAUACAAAGUUAAAAAUUUUAAACAUAAACGCAAGAUUUCCGGGAUCUGUGCACGAUUCUGCCAUUUGGCAGACAUCAUUGGUCAGAAGGCACUUAGUGAACAACUUUAGAGGAAAUGGUCGUCAAAUGACAUAUCUGUUAGGAGACGCAGGGUACCCCUUAGAGCCUUGGCUGUUAACACCAAUAGCUAAUCCAGUUACUAAUAGUGAAAGAGAAUACAAUCGCCGACAUAAAACAAUCCGAAAUAUCAUAGAAAGAACAAAUGGUCUAUUAAAACAAAGAUUUAGAUGCCUUCUCAAACAUCGAACCUUGCAUUAUGCUCCUGAGAGAGCAGCACAGAUUAUUUAUGCUGCUGCUAUCAUGCACAAUUUGUGUAUUGACAGGAAUGAAUAUUUAGGUGACAUAAAUGAUAAUUGUCAUGAAGAAGAAAAUAACAAUGAAGUAAACAAUAACAAUCAAAAUGCGGAUGAAGAAUUAGAUCUUCCUGAAAGAAACGUUUUACACCAAGGCCGUAUUGUAAGAAAUAGAGUAGUAGAAAAUUACUGUUUGUAAAAAAAAGUUAAGUUUUAUUCUUGUAUUUUUAUAAAAUUUACAAUAGCAUCAUCCAGCGCUUGG